Molecule: non-coding RNA, 499 nt
Organism: Manis javanica (Malayan pangolin)
Lineage: Eukaryota; Metazoa; Chordata; Mammalia; Pholidota; Manidae
Source: RefSeq, a predicted model, not a curated record
GGGGACCCGAGCGCCCCGCCUGUGCAGGGCUUACCUCCCAGUCCUCCAGGUGCUGCACAGCCACGAACAGGCAGCCUGUGACGUAGAAGAGCUUCCAGCCCAGACCAUCUGGGGGCAGACACGGGGCGCAGCCAGGCUCCGGAGCCGACUGGGGAACCAGAGGAGCCCGAGGUGCGUUUAGCCCAACAGCAAACUGUGUGGGAUGAACCCAAGACCGUGCACAGAAUCACCACAGGGCACGCCAGGUGAACCGAGCAGGAGGCCGCUGCGGCGUCCUGGGAAGGACCAGAGCCUACUGAUAAAGGGAAGCAAGCCUUGGACGGGCAGGGACAAGGACAGAAGGGAAAAGGAAUGCACUGUUCCCCCUCACGCGGGCCUGCAACAUACAGAGACCUCAGAAGAGCAUGCAGAGUACUGACAAGAUGUUAAACGGUGAAAAACGACAAGGCAGGAUCCUCUGAAUGCGCACACAGAAUAAAAGCUGGAAGGAUACUAAGGA